AGUGCCUGAGCACGCCAUCCUCCUGUACCCUACUCCAUUACGAUGUGAUUCCUUCGUGUUAAAACUGUGAGUACUUGCCAAUGGCCCACCGUUUUACCCCUUUCGGGUAACACAUGUGCAUUCAUACUAGGCACACGUUUUCUGUAAGGAACCAGAUAGUAACUAUUUUAGGUUAUUUGGAGGAGGCAGGAUACUCAAAGCAAAGCAGGAAGACUAAUGCUGUGGUCAGGGGUGAGAUCAGGUCAGGCAGCUUAUGCCUGUAAUCCCAGCACUUAGAGAGGCCGAGGCUGGAGGAUUGCUUGAGCCCAGGAGUUUGAGACCAGCAAGGGCAACAUAGUGAGACUCAUCUCUCAAAAAAUUAAAAAAGUAUCCAGGCAUGGUGGCACUUGCCUGUAGUAUCAACUACUCAGGAGGCUGAGGUAGGAGGAUCUAUCCAGCUAGGGAGAUCAAGGCUGCAGUGAGCCAUGAUCACGCCACUGCACUCCAGCCUGGGUGACAGAGUGUGAGACCCUGUCUCAAAAAACUAACUAAAUAAAUAAAUAAAAGGCAAGAUCAGCAGGGGUCUAACCCACAGAGCAACUAAGGCCAGAAGUAGAAGAGAAAAUGGGGGAAAGGGCUGGACGAUGAGAUUGGUGUUACAUGCAGAAUUGUCAAGAUUUGGCCGGGUGUAAUCUGAUAACUUCUUCUGUUGCUUCUUGCUUAAAAGAUAUGUAGGCCGGGAGCGGUGGCUCACGCCUAUAAUCCCAGCACUUUGGGAGGCUGAGGCGGGCAGAUCAUGAGGUCAGGAUAUCGAGACCAUCCUGGCCAACACGGUGAAACCCCGUCUCUACUUAAAAUACAAAAAAUUAGCGGGUGCCUGUAGUCUCAGCUGCUCGGGAGGCUGAGGCAGGAGAAUGGCGUGAACCUGGGAGGCGGAGCUUGCAGUGAGCCAAGAUCUCGGCACUGCACUCCAGCCUGGGCAACAGAACAAGACUCCAUCUCAGAAAAAAAAAAAAAAAAUAUGUAAUAUUGUCCCAGAGUCUACUGGAAGAAGAGUGAUGCAUUCCUGUUGCAGGAGGGCUACAGAAUUUUGCAUAUUAGCUUACCUUAUAAAAAGGAUGCUCAGUGCAAGUGCCUCGGGCUGGGAGACACUGGAGGCAGAUAAAAAUGCAAGGCUAGAUAAACUAAUUUGCCAUUCUCAAUUAUAGAGUUGAUAAUUAAAACCAUGAGAGUUCUAUAAUAUUUAGGAUUUGCUCUAUUAAGAGAAAGUAAGAAAUUUAGGGGAAGAUGGCCGGGCGCGGUGGCUAACGCCUAUAA
This 1296-nucleotide long non-coding RNA is filed under the name Homo sapiens (human). RNAcentral describes it as "HSALNT0326777". The record is from RNAcentral. Lineage: Eukaryota; Metazoa; Chordata; Mammalia; Primates; Hominidae.